ACUUUGAAGAGAGAGUUCAAAAGGGCGUGAAACCGCUUAGAAGAAAACGGACGGAACCGUCUGACGCCCUCGGGAAUCAGUCGAACGACGCGCGAACGCGUCUCGAUCGUCGGAGCGUAAAAGUCCGGCUCGGGGCGUCUAGUAGUCGCGUUCGUAAGGCGCAUUUCUCGAGGGUUAGCGCCGCGACCGAUGCGAACGGCCGACGACGCCGUCGAGUUGAGGUCGAACGCCCUUCGCGGGUAUUCGUAACCAGCUCGUUCGGUUUCGAUCGUUGGAUCUAUAUAUAUAGCAUCGAGCGAAUACUUAAUAAAUACGUCGGCGUAAAACGCUCGACGAGCGGCGGAGACUCGGCCAGUCGUUCGAUACCUGCUCGCAGGUGCUCGUUCGGCGCGAGGUCGUUUCCCGAUGUCGCCGUCGACGCUACCGACGUUUAGGCGUCCGCGGCGUCCGAGUCGGCCACCCGUCCGACCCGUCUUGAAACACGGACCAAGGAGUCUAACGUACGCGCGAGUUAAUGGGCGGAAAACCCAUAAGCGCAAUAAAAGUAAAAGUCGUCCCAAGACGGCCGAGGUACGAUCCUAGACUACGCGUCUAGGCGCAGUACCGUCCCGUCCCGACCGCACGUCGGUAGGGCGGAGAUUGAGCGCAUACGUUGGGACCCGAAAGAUGGUGAACUAUGCCUGAGCAGAGCGAAGCCAGAGGAAACUCUGGUGGAGG
RNAcentral lists this ribosomal RNA (717 nucleotides) under Xiphinema californicum. RNAcentral's name for it is "partial 28S ribosomal RNA". It matches the Rfam family "Eukaryotic large subunit ribosomal RNA", at positions 373 to 873 of the family's 3401-position model. Lineage: Eukaryota; Metazoa; Nematoda; Enoplea; Dorylaimida; Longidoridae. The record is from RNAcentral.